GCCGGGGUAGCUCAGGGGUAGAGCGGCUGUUUUGUAAACAGCGGGUCGCGGGUUCGAAUCCUGUCCCCGGCUCCA
This 75-nucleotide transfer RNA is filed under the name uncultured Armatimonadota bacterium. RNAcentral describes it as "uncultured Armatimonadetes bacterium tRNA-Thr-TGT". It matches the Rfam family "tRNA". From Rfam's summary of the family: Transfer RNA (tRNA) molecules are approximately 80 nucleotides in length. Their secondary structure includes four short double-helical elements and three loops (D, anti-codon, and T loops). RNAcentral also lists the same sequence under 1 other name. The record is from RNAcentral. Lineage: Bacteria; Bacillati; Armatimonadota.